RNAcentral lists this ribosomal RNA (253 nucleotides) under uncultured bacterium. Its description in RNAcentral is "partial 16S ribosomal RNA". It matches the Rfam family "Bacterial small subunit ribosomal RNA", at positions 524 to 776 of the family's 1533-position model. The record is from RNAcentral.
UACGGGGGGUGCUAGCGUUAUUCGGAUUUACUGGGCGUAAAGGGCGCGCAGGCGGUCUUUUAAGUCAGAUGUGAAAGCCCGGGGCUCAACCCCGGAAGUGCAUUUGAAACUAAAAGACUUGAGUAUGGGAGAGGGAAGUGGAAUUCCUGGUGUAGCGGUGAAAUGCGUAGAUAUCAGGAGGAACACCGGUGGCGAAGGCGACUUCCUGGACCAAUACUGACGCUGAGGCGCGAAGGCGUGGGGAGCAAACAGG